GAUGAACGCUGGCGGCGUGCCUAAUACAUGCAAGUCGAGCGAACGGACGAGAAGCUUGCUUCUCUGAUGUUAGCGGCGGACGGGUGAGUAACACGUGGAUAACCUACCUAUAAGACUGGGAUAACUUCGGGAAACCGGAGCUAAUACCGGAUAAUAUUUUGAACCGCAUGGUUCAAAAGUGAAAGACGGUCUUGCUGUCACUUAUAGAUGGAUCCGCGCUGCAUUAGCUAGUUGGUAAGGUAACGGCUUACCAAGGCAACGAUGCAUAGCCGACCUGAGAGGGUGAUCGGCCACACUGGAACUGAGACACGGUCCAGACUCCUACGGGAGGCAGCAGUAGGGAAUCUUCCGCAAUGGGCGAAAGCCUGACGGAGCAACGCCGCGUGAGUGAUGAAGGUCUUCGGAUCGUAAAACUCUGUUAUUAGGGAAGAACAUAUGUGUAAGUAACUGUGCACAUCUUGACGGUACCUAAUCAGAAAGCCACGGCUAACUACGUGCCAGCAGCCGCGGUAAUACGUAGGUGGCAAGCGUUAUCCGGAAUUAUUGGGCGUAAAGCGCGCGUAGGCGGUUUUUUAAGUCUGAUGUGAAAGCCCACGGCUCAACCGUGGAGGGUCAUUGGAAACUGGAAAACUUGAGUGCAGAAGAGGAAAGUGGAAUUCCAUGUGUAGCGGUGAAAUGCGCAGAGAUAUGGAGGAACACCAGUGGCGAAGGCGACUUUCUGGUCUGUAACUGACGCUGAUGUGCGAAAGCGUGGGGAUCAAACAGGAUUAGAUACCCUGGUAGUCCACGCCGUAAACGAUGAGUGCUAAGUGUUAGGGGGUUUCCGCCCCUUAGUGCUGCAGCUAACGCAUUAAGCACUCCGCCAGGGGAGUACGACCGCAAGGUUGAAACUCAAAGGAAUUGACGGGGACCCGCACAAGCGGUGGAGCAUGUGGUUUAAUUCGAAGCAACGCGAAGAACCUUACCAAAUCUUGACAUCCUUUGACAACUCUAGAGAUAGAGCCUUCCCCUUCGGGGGACAAAGUGACAGGUGGUGCAUGGUUGUCGUCAGCUCGUGUCGUGAGAUGUUGGGUUAAGUCCCGCAACGAGCGCAACCCUUAAGCUUAGUUGCCAUCAUUAAGUUGGGCACUCUAAGUUGACUGCCGGUGACAAACCGGAGGAAGGUGGGGAUGACGUCAAAUCAUCAUGCCCCUUAUGAUUUGGGCUACACACGUGCUACAAUGGACAAUACAAAGGGCAGCGAAACCGCGAGGUCAAGCAAAUCCCAUAAAGUUGUUCUCAGUUCGGAUUGUAGUCUGCAACUCGACUACAUGAAGCUGGAAUCGCUAGUAAUCGUAGAUCAGCAUGCUACGGUGAAUACGUUCCCGGGUCU
RNAcentral lists this ribosomal RNA (1372 nucleotides) under uncultured bacterium. Its description in RNAcentral is "bacterial SSU rRNA". It matches the Rfam family "Bacterial small subunit ribosomal RNA", at positions 28 to 1381 of the family's 1533-position model. The record is from RNAcentral.